GCCAGUGAUAAACUGGAGGAAGGUGGGGAUGACGUCAAAUCAUCAUGCCCCUUAUGACCUGGGCUACAAACGUGAUACAAUGGCUGAAACAAAGGGCAGCGAAGCAGUGAUGUGGAGCGAAACCCAAAAAGCAGUCUCAGUUCGGAUUGAAGUCUGCAACUCGACUUCAUGAAGUUGGAAUCGCUAGUAAUCGCGGAUCAGAACGCCGCGGUGAAUACGUUCCCGGGCCUU
RNAcentral lists this ribosomal RNA (231 nucleotides) under uncultured Acholeplasma sp. Its description in RNAcentral is "partial 16S ribosomal RNA". It matches the Rfam family "Bacterial small subunit ribosomal RNA", at positions 1151 to 1382 of the family's 1533-position model. Lineage: Bacteria; Bacillati; Mycoplasmatota; Mollicutes; Acholeplasmatales; Acholeplasmataceae. The record is from RNAcentral.